RNAcentral lists this transfer RNA (78 nucleotides) under Bacillota bacterium. Its description in RNAcentral is "tRNA-Asp". It matches the Rfam family "tRNA". From Rfam's summary of the family: Transfer RNA (tRNA) molecules are approximately 80 nucleotides in length. Their secondary structure includes four short double-helical elements and three loops (D, anti-codon, and T loops). Lineage: Bacteria; Bacillati; Bacillota. RNAcentral also lists the same sequence under 3 other names. The record is from RNAcentral.
GGCCCGGUAGUUCAGAUUGGUUAGAAUGCCAGCCUGUCACGCUGGAGGUCGAGGGUUCGAGCCCCUUCCGGGUCGCCA